Molecule: ribosomal RNA, 540 nt
Filed under: uncultured bacterium
Lineage: Bacteria
Description: partial 16S ribosomal RNA
Rfam family: Bacterial small subunit ribosomal RNA
Source: RNAcentral
UGGGGAAUUUUGGACAAUGGGCGAAAGCCUGAUCCAGCAAUGCCGCGUGUGUGAAGAAGGCCUUCGGGUUGUAAAGCACUUUUGUCCGGAAAGAAAUCCUCUGGGUUAAUACCUCGGGGGGAUGACGGUACCGGAAGAAUAAGCACCGGCUAACUACGUGCCAGCAGCCGCGGUAAUACGUAGGGUGCAAGCGUUAAUCGGAAUUACUGGGCGUAAAGCGUGCGCAGGCGGUUUUGUAUGACGGAUGUGAAAUCCCCGGGCUUAACCUGGGAACUGCAUUCGUGACUGCAAGGCUAGAGUAUGGCAGAGGGGGGUAGAAUUCCACGUGUAGCAGUGAAAUGCGUAGAGAUGUGGAGGAAUACCGAUGGCGAAGGCAGCCCCCUGGGCCAAUACUGACGCUCAUGCACGAAAGCGUGGGGAGCAAACAGGAUUAGAUACCCUGGUAGUCCACGCCCUAAACGAUGUCAACUAGUUGUUGGGGAUUCAUUUCCUUAGUAACGUAGCUAACGCGUGAAGUUGACCGCCUGGGGAGUACGGUCG